GUGGGGAAUUUUGGACAAUGGGGGCAACCCUGAUCCAGCCAUCCCGCGUGUGCGAUGAAGGCCUUCGGGUUGUAAACUGCUUUUGUACGGAACGAAACGGUCCGGGUUAAUACCCUGGGCUAAUGACGGUACCGUAAGAAUAAGCACCGGCUAACUACGUGCCAGCAGCCGCGGUAAUACGUAGGGUGCAAGCGUUAAUCGGAAUUACUGGGCGUAAAGCGUGCGCAGGCGGUUUUGUAAGACAGAUGUGAAAUCCCCGGGCUCAACCUGGGAACUGCAUUUGUGACUGUAUAGCUAGAGUACGGUAGAGGGGGAUGGAAUUCCGCGUGUAGCAGUGAAAUGCGUAGAUAUGCGGAGGAACACCGAUGGCGAAGGCAAUCCCCUGGACCUGUACUGACGCUCAUGCACGAAAGCGUGGGGAGCAAACAGGAUUAGAAACCCUAGUAGUCC
This 450-nucleotide ribosomal RNA is filed under the name uncultured bacterium. Its description in RNAcentral is "partial 16S ribosomal RNA". It matches the Rfam family "Bacterial small subunit ribosomal RNA", at positions 354 to 796 of the family's 1533-position model. The record is from RNAcentral.